GACGAACCGUCCAAACGUUAUUCGGAAUCACUGGGCUUAAAGGGUGCGUAGGCGGCCUGGAAAGUUGGGUGUGAAAGCCCUCGGCUCAACCGAGGAAUUGCGCCCAAAACUUCCAGACUCGAGGGAGACAUAGGUGAGCGGAACUUAGGGUGGAGCGGUGAAAUGCGUUGAGAUCCUAAGGAACACCAGUAGCGAAAGCGGCUCACUGGGUCUCUUCUGACGCUGAGGCACGAAAGCUAGGGGAGCGAAGAGGAUUAGAUACCCCCGUA
This 269-nucleotide ribosomal RNA is filed under the name uncultured prokaryote. Its description in RNAcentral is "partial 16S ribosomal RNA". It matches the Rfam family "Bacterial small subunit ribosomal RNA", at positions 524 to 792 of the family's 1533-position model. The record is from RNAcentral.